RNAcentral lists this long non-coding RNA (1244 nucleotides) under Coturnix japonica (Japanese quail). RNAcentral describes it as "lncRNA (ENSCJPG00005009343.1)". The record is from RNAcentral. Lineage: Eukaryota; Metazoa; Chordata; Aves; Galliformes; Phasianidae.
AGCAAGGUGAAUUCCCAUCUAACCUACUGCUCAGACAAAAACUCUCCUCCAACCCAGAGACUGCAAUCACAGCGAAGAUCCACCUGAAGAGCACUAAAAAAGGAUAAUAGCUGAAAUUUCUUCCUGCUCAGUAUGCACGAUCAAGCAGAUUUCAAGGGUGAUGGGGCAAGGAGAAGGUCUUUGUCUCGCUCAUUAAUCACCACGGUGUGAGCAGCGCGUGUCCCAGAAUAGCUGAGGCCUCAUGGAUCAAAGGUAUUGGAAUGGGAAGUGGAACGGAGGCAAGCACACCCCCUGCCUUGCUGUCUCUGGUGCCUUUGGGAUGCAAAAGAUGCUGUGGCUGGCAGAUCCAUUCCGCUCUCUGACCAGAUGGAACACCUGAUGGCUGCAAAAUGGAGCCGUCCCCUCUGGAAACUAUUAUUUCUUCCCUGGAUGUGACACGUUUCAGGUCUGAGUGGCUGCUGACCAGGAAGCAGCAAAGGCAGCACUUCACCCAGCUGCUCCUCAGCCCCCUGCCAAGGAGCAGAGAUUGGGGCAAUGUGGUGCUCACUCCUGCUGUCAGCUCAGAGCAAAGCAGCUUCUGCUGAGUGAGAGUCUGUGGUUUUAGUUUGUGGUUCUGUGCCAAUGUAUAUCCGAGCUCACAGGGCACAUUGCUGCUGGGUAUCUCAUGGGUCCACACUGAGCCUGGGAAAGAAAGGCUGCUGAGGGGUCCUGGUGGGAGCUCUCAGUGCUUCAAGGCUGUGUCUGAUGAUGGCUGGCAGCAUCCCUUGAUCCAUCCAGCUGAGCCAGCAGAUCCAAGGAGGAGUGACAUGGUUACAUGCCUGCAGCUGGCAGGUGCACACAGAUGUGCACACAUGCAUGCAACGGGUCCCAGUGAGCUCGCAUGGCAAAGCAAGGCAAGUCAAGGCAGUCUCUUUCCAGCCCUGCAUGGGAGACGGGCAGCAUCGCAGCGGACAGCCGCUCCCCUCCCGGCGCUGCACAUCGUCUGCCCGCAGGCUCCAUCUGGUGGAAAAUCCUCACCCAUAAAGCGGAGAAGAAUCCAGCCCUCGGUCCAGGACCGUGGGACCGCGGCUCAGGGAGCAUCCCGGCUUCCAAACCGCUUGGUAAGGCAAUGCGUCCCUGGACGGUUACUCCGAGAAAUAAAUGUGGUGGAAUUUAUUUCAACAGAUGGAGGACGAUUUUCUCCCGGCCGUUUAAGUGACACAUCGUGCACCUCCCUUCGCCAGCAUCCCUGUGCAGCAGAUUGA